Molecule: ribosomal RNA, 235 nt
Filed under: uncultured Actinomycetales bacterium
Lineage: Bacteria; Bacillati; Actinomycetota; Actinomycetes; Actinomycetales
Description: partial 16S ribosomal RNA
Rfam family: Bacterial small subunit ribosomal RNA
Source: RNAcentral
UGGCGAACGGGUGAGUAACACGUGGGUGAUCUGCCCUGCACUCUGGGAUAAGCCUUGGAAACUGGGUCUAAUACCGGAUAGGACCAUGCUUUAGUGUGUGUGGUGGAAAGUUUUUUCGGUGUAGGAUGAGUCCGCGGCCUAUCAGCUUGUUGGUGGGGUAAUGGCCUACCAAGGCGGCGACGGGUAGCCGGACUGAGAGGUUGGUCGGCCACAUUGGGACUGAGAUACGGCCCAG